This 417-nucleotide ribosomal RNA is filed under the name uncultured eukaryote. Its description in RNAcentral is "bacterial SSU rRNA". It matches the Rfam family "Eukaryotic small subunit ribosomal RNA", at positions 592 to 1018 of the family's 1831-position model. The record is from RNAcentral.
CAAUAGCGUAUAUUAAAGUUGUUGCAGUUAAAAGCUCGUAGUUGGAUUUCUGGGAGGGUGCCAAUGUCCGUCGUCGUACGUGUUGCAGCGGCGCCCUUCCAUCCUUCUGUUAACGACUUUGGGCAUUCACUUGCCGGAGUCGGGCUCAGAUAUUUUACCUUGAGAAAAUUAGAGUGUUUCAGGCAGGCUAUCGCCGGAAUACAUUAGCAUGGAAUAAUGGAAAAGGACUUCAACCUCUUCUGUUGGUCUGAGAGGCUGUAGUAAUGAUUAAUAGGGAUAGUUGGGGGCAUUAGUACUUGACUGUCAGAGGUGAAAUUCUCCGAUUUGUUAAAGACGGACUACUGCGAAAGCAUUUGCCAAGGAUGUUUUCAUUGAUCAAGAACGAAAGUUAGGGGAUCGAAGAUGAUCAGAUACCGU